ACUGAAUAGAUACCCCGGUAGUCCACGCCGUAAACGAUGAAUGCUAGCUGUUAGAAGUAUCGACCCUUCUAGUAGCGAAAGCUAACGCGUUAAGCAUUCCGCCUGUGGAGUACGGUCGCAAGACUAAAACAUAAAGGAAUUGACGGGGACCCGCACAAGCGGUGGAGCGUGUUCUUUAAUUCGAAGGUAAGCGAAGAACCUUACCAAGGUUUGACAUCCCGGUAGCCGUUUUCCGAAAGGAGAACUUCAUUUAGUUGGACCGGUGACAGGUGUUGCAUGGCCGUCGUCAGCUCGUGUCGUGAGAUGUUUGGUUAAGUCCAUCAACGAGCGCAACCCUUAUAGUUAGUUGGAUUUCUCUAGCUAGACUGCCCCGGUAACGGGGAGGAAGGAGGGGAUGAUGUCAGGUCAGUAUUACCCUUACACCUUGGGCUAGAAACACGCUACAAUGGCCAGUACAAAGGGCAGCCAAGUCGCGAGACGGAGCAAAUCCCAUCAAAGCUGGUCCCAGUUCGGAUAGGAGGCUGAAACUCGCCUCCUUGAAGUCGGAAUCGCUAGUAGCGGUGA
This 564-nucleotide ribosomal RNA is filed under the name uncultured bacterium. RNAcentral describes it as "bacterial SSU rRNA". It matches the Rfam family "Bacterial small subunit ribosomal RNA", at positions 772 to 1347 of the family's 1533-position model. The record is from RNAcentral.